RNAcentral lists this long non-coding RNA (426 nucleotides) under Sus scrofa (pig). RNAcentral's name for it is "lncRNA (ENSSSCG00005016508.1)". The record is from RNAcentral. Lineage: Eukaryota; Metazoa; Chordata; Mammalia; Artiodactyla; Suidae.
AUGCUCCUGUCUGAUUGCUGCAUAGAAACUUCCCAGACCCCUGAGGGGACCAUAAAAGGGAAAAUCCUGGAGAAGACGCAAACUUUCUGUUUCUCCAUAUCAAGUGUCUUGUCAGGAAAUAGGUCCUGGGAAGACCUUCUGACUCCACUGGAAUUGGGAAGAGUGGACUUUUUCUGCGUUGACUCAAAAAUGCUGACAGCAAAUGGCAGGUUACUGCUUAAACACAGAUGUCAUUUAUUGUGUCAACUUGGAAAUGCUCAGCACAAUCUGCCCUGCAGAAGAAGUGCUGGGACUUGUGGAUUAAUAAUGAACAGAGAGGCAAAUUUGAGUUGAAGCUCUGUCUCUGCUCCAAUUAUGGGCCUGCCCAUUUGGCCUUUAUUCUGAAGUGAAUAUUUGCCAGGAUUGGACGAAAGCACCUGCCCCAGG